This 73-nucleotide transfer RNA is filed under the name Ailuropoda melanoleuca (giant panda). It matches the Rfam family "tRNA". From Rfam's summary of the family: Transfer RNA (tRNA) molecules are approximately 80 nucleotides in length. Their secondary structure includes four short double-helical elements and three loops (D, anti-codon, and T loops). Lineage: Eukaryota; Metazoa; Chordata; Mammalia; Carnivora; Ursidae. The record is from Rfam by way of RNAcentral.
ACCUGGCUGGCUCAGUUGGUAGAGUAUAAGACUCUUGACCUUGGGGUCAUGAAUUUGAGCUCCAUGUUGAGUG